GACCUCAGAUCAGACAAGGAUACCCGCUGAACUUAAGCAUAUCAAUAA
Molecule: ribosomal RNA, 48 nt
Filed under: Dactylellina haptospora
Lineage: Eukaryota; Fungi; Ascomycota; Orbiliomycetes; Orbiliales; Orbiliaceae
Also listed under: 4 other names
Description: partial 28S ribosomal RNA
Source: RNAcentral